GGCUCCCAGGCCACCUCCUCCCCAGCCGCUGCCGAGCGGUUCUCCGACCUCUGAGGGACCGCGCAGCAAGAGUACCUACUAUGUGCUGGACGGUAUUCUCUCAACCACAGAAUCUGCUACACCGGAAAGAACAGAAGCCCCAGGCUGGGAAGCAGCCAGAUAUGAGCCCAGCCAUCCGUCCUUCCAUGCUGCAAUUCCCUUGGCAUCAACCUCACUAGUUCAGGAGUGGACACAGGCGGAAAACAGAAUGAAGCCAGCUCCUCCCAGUCCUGGAGAGCAGGUGCGUCAACCAGAGGCAGGAAACAGACAAAUCAGCCCAGAUCAAUUCACAGAAGGACCAGAGUCCUGCUUGGCAGACUUCCUUACAGAUCCUCUCCUUUGCCUUUGGACUCCUCAUUGCUCUGGCCUUCCAAAUUCAGUUCUUCAGAGGAGCUCCCCUUGAG
Molecule: long non-coding RNA, 443 nt
Organism: Nycticebus coucang (slow loris)
Lineage: Eukaryota; Metazoa; Chordata; Mammalia; Primates; Lorisidae
Exons: 3
Source: RefSeq, a predicted model, not a curated record